UACAGAGGUGGCAAGCGUUGUUCGGAAUUACUGGGCGUAAAGGGCGCGUAGGCGGUUUUGUAAGUCCCGCGUGAAAUCCCCCGGCUCAACUGGGGAACUGCGCGGGAAACUGCAAGGCUUGAGUUCGGGAGAGGGAAGCGGAAUUCCGGGUGUAGCGGUGAAAUGCGUAGAUAUCCGGAGGAACACCGGUGGCGAAGGCGGCUUCCUGGACCGGUUCUGACACUGAGGAGCGAAAGCGUGGGGAGCGAUCCGG
Molecule: ribosomal RNA, 253 nt
Filed under: uncultured bacterium
Lineage: Bacteria
Description: partial 16S ribosomal RNA
Rfam family: Bacterial small subunit ribosomal RNA
Source: RNAcentral